AGUGAACGCUGGCGGCAGGCCUAAUACAUGCAAGUCGAACGGCAGCACAGCAGAGCUUGCUCUGUGGGUGGCGAGUGGGCGGACGGGUGAGGAAUACGUGGGAAUCUGCCCAGUCGUGGGGGAUAACGUAGGGAAACUUACGCUAAUACCGCAUGCGCCUUCGGGGAAAGCCGGGGACCUUCGGGCCUGGCGCGAUUGGAUGAGCCCACGUCGGAUUAGCUAGUUGGCGGGGUAAAGGCCCACCAAGGCGACGAUCCGUAGCUGGUCUGAGAGGAUGAUCAGCCACACUGGAACUGAGACACGGUCCAGACUCCUACGGGGAGGCAGCAGUAGGGAAUAUGGACAAUGGGCGCAAGCCUGAUCCAGCCAUGCCGCGUGAGUGAAGAAGGCCUCGGUGU
This 398-nucleotide ribosomal RNA is filed under the name uncultured bacterium. Its description in RNAcentral is "bacterial SSU rRNA". It matches the Rfam family "Bacterial small subunit ribosomal RNA", at positions 30 to 423 of the family's 1533-position model. The record is from RNAcentral.